Molecule: transfer RNA, 76 nt
Filed under: Acinetobacter johnsonii
Lineage: Bacteria; Pseudomonadati; Pseudomonadota; Gammaproteobacteria; Moraxellales; Moraxellaceae
Also listed under: 5 other names
Description: tRNA-His
Rfam family: tRNA
About the family: Transfer RNA (tRNA) molecules are approximately 80 nucleotides in length. Their secondary structure includes four short double-helical elements and three loops (D, anti-codon, and T loops).
Source: RNAcentral
GUGGAUGUAGCUCAGUUGGUAGAGCCCCGGAUUGUGAUUCCGGUUGUCGUGGGUUCGAGUCCCAUCAUUCACCCCA